GGUCCCGUGGCUCAAUUGGUAGAGCGUCAGACUUCUAAUCUGAAGGUCGUGGGUUCGACCCCCACCGGGAUCU
Molecule: non-coding RNA, 73 nt
Organism: Gorgonomyces haynaldii
Lineage: Eukaryota; Fungi; Chytridiomycota; Chytridiomycetes; Rhizophydiales; Gorgonomycetaceae
Source: the annotation of a GenBank genome assembly